UACGUAGGUGGCAAGCGUUGUCCGGAUUUACUGGGCGUAAAGAGCGCGCAGGCGGCCAAGUCAGUCGAAUGUGAAAGCCCCCCGGCUCAACUGGGGAGGGUCAUUCGAUACUGCUCGGCUCGAAGACAGGAGAGGGAAGUGGAAUUCUCGGUGUAGAGGUGAAAUUCGUAGAUAUCGAGAGGAACACCGGCGGCGAAGGCGGCCCAACUGGACCAACACUGACGCUGAGACACGAAAGCGUGGGGAGCAAACAGG
Molecule: ribosomal RNA, 255 nt
Filed under: uncultured bacterium
Lineage: Bacteria
Description: partial 16S ribosomal RNA
Rfam family: Bacterial small subunit ribosomal RNA
Source: RNAcentral